Molecule: ribosomal RNA, 575 nt
Filed under: uncultured bacterium
Lineage: Bacteria
Description: bacterial SSU rRNA
Rfam family: Bacterial small subunit ribosomal RNA
Source: RNAcentral
AGUGAACGCUGGCGGCGUGCUUCAGACAUGCAAGUCGUACGAGAAAGUGACUUCGGUCAUUAGUAAAGUGGCGCACGGGUGAGUAACAUUUGGGUAAUGUACCUUAUUGCUGGGGAUAACUAGGCGAAAGCUUAGCUAAUACCGAAUAUCCGUUUGGGUGAAACUCCCAACCGGGAAAGCCGCAAGGCGCGAUAAGAUCAGCCCAAAUCUCAUUAGCUAGUUGGUGAGGUAAUGGCUCACCAAGGCUUCGAUGGGUAGCUGGUCUGAGAGGAUGAUCAGCCACACUGGAACUGGAACACGGUCCAGACUCCUACGGGAGGCAGCAGUUAGGAAUUUUUGCGCAAUGGGGGAAACCCUGACGCAGCAACGCCGCGUGAGUGAUGAAGGCCUUCGGGUUGUAAAGCUCUUUUAGUUGGGAAAAAAUCAAGUGAUGGUACCGACAGAAAAAGCACCGGCUAACUACGUGCCAGCUGCCGCGGUAAUACGUAGGGUGCGAGCGUUACUCGGAUUUACUGGGCGUAAAGCGCAUGUAGGCGGCUUGUUAAGUCUGAUGUGAAAUCCCUAGACUCAAUCUA